Molecule: long non-coding RNA, 771 nt
Organism: Paramacrobiotus metropolitanus
Lineage: Eukaryota; Metazoa; Tardigrada; Eutardigrada; Parachela; Macrobiotidae
Exons: 3
Source: RefSeq, a predicted model, not a curated record
AUUUUGAUUUUGUAAUCUGCAUUGCGAAAUUUUGUUGGUGAGAAUUUCAAUAAAAACCAUUUACUUUUAUCUCCAGCGAAAUCUGUUGCAAAUGACUUACGAAAUAUGCUACUCUGCAUCCUGACAAUCCCCAGAUUGUCUGCAGAUCUCGCGCAUCAUACUGUGGAGUAUACUGUAUGCCAGCCACAUCUUGCAACAUCCUCGACUGCCAUCAGAACUGGGUUCGCCGUUUGCCACUCGUCCGGAUCUUCUGACUAUGUCGGCCGGUUGGGAUAAGGUUCUACUUUCUUGACAGAUUUGUGGGCUCGUACGUGUUUGGCUUGUGCGUGUUGUCUUCCGCGUGAAUUUUCGUAUCGGAUCCUGUUUACUACCUAGCGAUGCUGUGGUUUCACUUUUCAUUGCAUCGCUGCGCAGCCUUUCGUUAUAUUGCGUCGCCAUUAUCAAGUUAACCCGGGGAAGUUUCUCUCUGCUCUUUCUCUUUUGACGGAAUCACCAAGAGCUGCCGUCGACGACGUAUAACGGACGAAAGAAUGGUCUAAAGAAUGGAUCCGUUGUCUUGUGAAUUUGUACGAUACCGAGAGCCUCAAUUUUUUGUUGACACUUCAAGAGAAAGAAGAAAAGCGUUUGCGUGAGAAAGGAACCUGCUAUCUUGACAAGUUUGAGGAUCUGCUCCCGUAUGCUAGAACGUCCGUUGGCCGGAGCCUUACUUCAAGCCGUGCGGAACUGUACACUUCAACCACAACUGAAUUUGAACUGCAACGAAUGCUUCUG